This 497-nucleotide ribosomal RNA is filed under the name uncultured bacterium. RNAcentral's name for it is "partial 16S ribosomal RNA". It matches the Rfam family "Bacterial small subunit ribosomal RNA", at positions 28 to 507 of the family's 1533-position model. The record is from RNAcentral.
GAUGAACGCUGGCGGCGUGCCUAAUACAUGCAAGUCGAGCGAACAGACGAGGAGCUUGCUCCUCUGACGUUAGCGGCGGACGGGUGAGUAACACGUGGAUAACCUACCUAUAAGACUGGGAUAACUUCGGGAAACCGGAGCUAAUACCGGAUAAUAUAUUGAACCGCAUGGUUCAAUAGUGAAAGACGGUUUUGCUGUCACUUAUAGAUGGAUCCGCGCCGCAUUAGCUAGUUGGUAAGGUAACGGCUUACCAAGGCAACGAUGCGUAGCCGACCUGAGAGGGUGAUCGGCCACACUGGAACUGAGACACGGUCCAGACUCCUACGGGAGGGAGCAGUAGGGAAUCUUCCGCGAUGGGCGAAAGCCUGACGGAGCAACGCCGCGUGAGUGAUGAAGGUCUUCGGAUCGUAAAACUCUGUUAUUAGGGAAGAACAAAUGUGUAAGUAACUAUACACGUCUUGACGGUACCUAAUCAGAAAGCCACGGCUAACUCCGUG